GGGAAUUCUCCCAGAAUGUAAAAAUAUCUCACUGUGGGUGAAAGUUCCCAAAGACCUGGAAGAUCCAGAGGUGUUUCAGGCCUAGACGCAGCUGCUGGAAGUCACAUAUGGCCCAGUAGGGUCACAGAUCCCUUACACUGAGCAGGUGAGUAAGGCCAUGCUUGAGUUGAAGGCUCUGAAAUCUUCAGACCUCACUGAGGUCGUGGUUUAUGGCUCCUAUUUGUACAAGCUCUGGACCAAGUGGAUGCUGCAGUCCGUGGCUGAGUGGUUCCAGCUUGGUUUAAACUCUGCUCCAGUCU
RNAcentral lists this long non-coding RNA (299 nucleotides) under Homo sapiens (human). RNAcentral describes it as "non-protein coding lnc-BLOC1S6-2:1". Lineage: Eukaryota; Metazoa; Chordata; Mammalia; Primates; Hominidae. The record is from RNAcentral.